This 656-nucleotide long non-coding RNA is filed under the name Gossypium barbadense (sea-island cotton). RNAcentral describes it as "long non-coding RNA (GBAR_LNC006237)". The record is from RNAcentral. Lineage: Eukaryota; Viridiplantae; Streptophyta; Magnoliopsida; Malvales; Malvaceae.
UUUGGAGUUCAACUUGAUGAAGCUCUCAAGAGCAUGUUUUGUCCUUACAAAAGAGAGUGGAUUAUGAAUUGCUCGUCUAUGGGUGGUAAUCAUUCUAUCUAUCAAACAAUUGGGUCCCAGGGAUUUUCCAUGUUAGGAGGUGAAGAUAAAAUAAUCUGGAAAUUCAAUCCUUGAGGAGAAUGUUCAGUAAGCUCAUGCUAUAAACUUAAUACUAUUCUUCAGGCAAGCAAGCUGAUCCGGCACAAACAUUAUGCGAAGUUAAAAUUGUGGACUCUUCAUGGUUGCAUAGGUUUGAGAGGGAGGAAAAUCUGGAGGGGCAAGUGGGCUAGUCCUCGGGUUUCUCAUAGGAAAGCUUGGAGCAUGGUUCAUCUUGCGUUGUUAAAGGGAACAGUAGGCUUUGGUAUCUGGUUCCUGAUGGUGGAUGUAGGUGGAAGAUACUUGGCGCAGUUUUGCAACUCUCUUCAAUGGAUUAGGGAGACACCAGCUACAGCUUCCAAGUUUAAUGUUCAGCAAGGAAGAAACAUCCAUUACGUAUCCGAGCCAAAUAAAAUGAUUUAUAAUUAUACUUGAAAAAACUCAUAUUUAUUUAUAUAACUUUGACACAGGUCUGGCGGGCAUAUCAACAUUUAGAAUUUAUCCACAACUUUUCUAUUCCC